This 726-nucleotide long non-coding RNA is filed under the name Ricinus communis (castor bean). Its description in RNAcentral is "long non-coding RNA (RCOM_LNC002808)". The record is from RNAcentral. Lineage: Eukaryota; Viridiplantae; Streptophyta; Magnoliopsida; Malpighiales; Euphorbiaceae.
CAAUGCUAUCAACAGCAACUGUGGCUAGCCUCAACAGAGCCAGCCCUGCUCAAGCCAGCAUGGUUGCACCAUUCACUGGUCUCAAGUCCACCUCUGCUUUCCCAGUCACCCGCAAGACCAACACUGACAUCACCACUUUGGCUAACAAUGGCGGCAGAGUCCAGUGCAUGCAGGUCUUUUAGUCUUUCAAACCCUUUCUCUAAUUCUCUACAUAGCUAAAAGAAUUUGAUAAACACAAUUAUAAUCAUAAUAAUCUUCAAAAUCUUUUAGAAAAUAUUAGGAAACAAAAUCUUCUCGAUCAGAUUCAAAAGAAAAGGAAAAGAGAAACCAGUUCAUCGUAAUAUUAGGGUCUGUCUGUCAUUUAUCUUCUAUCCUAAUUAACCUAAUUAGCUAAAGACUGGAAUUCUUUAAGAAAAUAAAUACAUUAGCUUAAUGAUAUUAACCAGUUUGAAUGUGGUACUGUGAAUGUAGGUAUGGCCUCCACUUGGGAAGAAGAAGUUCGAGACUCUCUCAUACCUUCCUGACCUUACCCGUGAGCAAUUGGCUAAGGAAGUCGAAUACCUUCUCCGCAAGGGAUGGGUUCCUUGCCUAGAGUUCGAGUUGGAGGUGAUUAUUUCAAUUCCAUUAGUAUUCUCCACCCUUGAAUUAAUAAUUCAGAGAUAGAAUCUUCAUUUUGUUUUCUAAAUCAUACCCUUUUUCUAACUAGUUAUAUAAUUUUGUGAUGGC